ACGUCAAGUCCUCAUGGCCCUUWCGSGCUGGGCUACACACGUGCUACAAUGGCGGUGACAGUGGGCAGCAAUCUCGCARGGGUGAGCUAAUCUCCAAAAGCCGUCUCAGUUCGGAUUGUUCUCUGCAACUCGAGAGCAUGAAGGCGGAAUCGCUAGUAAUCGCGGAUCAGCAUGCCGCGGUGAAUACGUUCCCAGGCCUUG
Molecule: ribosomal RNA, 201 nt
Filed under: uncultured bacterium
Lineage: Bacteria
Description: partial 16S ribosomal RNA
Rfam family: Bacterial small subunit ribosomal RNA
Source: RNAcentral